Molecule: ribosomal RNA, 253 nt
Filed under: uncultured bacterium
Lineage: Bacteria
Description: partial 16S ribosomal RNA
Rfam family: Bacterial small subunit ribosomal RNA
Source: RNAcentral
UACGUAGGGGGCAAGCGUUAUCCGGAUUUACUGGGUGUAAAGGGGGCGCAGACGGCGAUGCAAGCCAGGAGUGAAAGCCCGGGGCUCAACCCCGGGACUGCAUUGGGAACUGCCCUGCUGGAGUGCCGGAGGGGCAGGCGGAAUUCCUAGUGUAGCGGUGAAAUGCGUAGAUAUUAGGAGGAACACCAGUGGCGAAGGCGGCCUGCUGGACGGUGACUGACGCUGAGGCUCGAAAGCGUGGGGAGCAAACAGG